GCCCUAGAGAGUCACAGAACAGCUCCUUCCACGGUGGGUGUGGGCGAUUUGAAAAAUACCAAGACUGUGUCUUGCUAGUAUUCACAGGGAAUGGCAUAAAACAGACUUCUUCAUGAGCUUUCAACAAUAUAAGUUCUAGAAACUCUACGGUGGAAAACCUUGGAAUUAAAGUGAUAAUAGAAUCGUCAAAUGGAAGAAGCCAUUCUAAACCAGCUUUUUCUGUCACGUGAGCCCUUGAAGAUCCUUCCCGGUUUAGUCAUCUUCAUGCCUGAUAUGUGACACCCGUCGUGUGUGGAGGGACCGAAAGCAUGUGCUGACCGCUGCUGCCAGGUGCUCUUCGACUUAGAGAUCCUUGCCUGGAAUUCACACCCAAUAUGCCUCAAGAUCUCCAUGCCAGGAUCCAGGUCAGAAAUUUGUAUCUCCCAGUCACAAGAUCAGGAUCACAGAUUCCCCCCAGCUCCCCAACUAUUUAAUGCCAAGCCAUCUUUCUCUCCUUCUUCGGAAAACAAGCAAAUAAGAAAAGAGCAGCAACAACAACGGAAUAAAAAAAAAAGGCAAAAACAAAGAAGUUGGAGAAACAUACAUGCAGACAUAGUCACACUCAAAAUUCCACAGAAUCAGAAACUGUAACAUCCAAGUAAAGGAUCAGUAAGAUUUUUUCAAACAGUGCCCAAACAGGGCAGUAUGAGACAAAAAGUCUCCGAAAAUACCACAGGGUUCAUUUUGUAUUGCCAAUCUACUGCUAGGCAUGGGACCUGCCUUUUAAGUGUGUUUUGUAUAGCUAACGAGACUCCAUUGGAGAAAACCAAUUUUUCUUUUGCAAGCAGUUGUUAGUUUGGGAUAACAUCUUGGUUAGGGGUGGUGGGUGUAAGUUACAUUUUGCAUAUGCUAGGCCCAGGGAGUGGCACUAUUAGAAGGUGUCUUGUUGGAGAAGGUGUGUCACUGUGGGUAUGGGCUUUAAGACCCUCAUCCUAGCUGCCUGGAAGUCAGUAUUCUGCUAGCAGCCUUCAGAUGAAGAUGUAGAACUCUCAGCUCCUCCUGCACCAUGCCUGCCUGGAUACCACCAUGCUCCCUCCUUGACGAUAAUGGACUGAACCUCUGAACCUAUAAGCC
Long non-coding RNA from Rattus norvegicus (Norway rat), 1113 nucleotides. RefSeq lists it as uncharacterized. The record is from RefSeq and is a predicted model, not a curated record. NCBI's taxonomy places the organism in Eukaryota, Metazoa, Chordata, Mammalia, Rodentia, Muridae.